Molecule: long non-coding RNA, 474 nt
Organism: Dermacentor andersoni
Lineage: Eukaryota; Metazoa; Arthropoda; Arachnida; Ixodida; Ixodidae
Source: RefSeq, a predicted model, not a curated record
CCGACAGUGGCAGCAGGAACUGUCGGCAGACGCAGGGUCUUACGAAACCGCUUGCAUUCGAGGAACGUCCGCACAAUGUCAUCCAGGAUUCAAGGGAGGAAAGAAAAGGACCCUGUCCACAAUCAAGUCUAUCACUGUGACUAUGCGACCAGCUUCGUGGAAUCCAAUCAUGACGAGUGCACAAUGAUUGCAGUGGUCACAGAGCAAUGGAGAUCGCUGAUUCACUCGGUGAAAACUAAGCCAUGCAAAACUGCUUUGACACCUCACCGUGCAACUCAGGGGACCUCAUGCUCGCAGAAAGCCCCGGUUUCUUCAACAGCUGAUCAUCUCUGCCUGGCUCUACUGUAGAACCUCUUCCAUACGUUCUGAAGAAGCACAAGAAAAGAACAUACUAAGCGGGAAAAUGUGCGAUCGGAACUCAAUAAAGAUUGGCAGACUCAACUGCAGCUAACAUCGACACGAAGUGGCAAUGCA